This 1066-nucleotide long non-coding RNA is filed under the name Bos indicus x Bos taurus (hybrid cattle). RNAcentral describes it as "lncRNA (ENSBIXG00005026327.1)". Lineage: Eukaryota; Metazoa; Chordata; Mammalia; Artiodactyla; Bovidae. The record is from RNAcentral.
AAAAGGUUUCAGAAACUAAUGGACCAACCUGCUCAAGCUGCAAUCCAGUAUGUUCAAAUACAGUGUGUCCUUAUGUUAUCAACGUGUAGGAGGCUGAAAGCUAGUGUGUUUAGAGAACAGGCUCCUCAGAGGAGAUGCUAAAUUAUAAACGGGGAAGAAUGCUUCCAUACUAAGUGCCAGUCAUUUGUCGACAUCAAACCCACCUUUUUGCUGUUGCCUGAGAAACCUUUCAACUCUUAUCAAAUCUUGGUAAAUUUUGAAAAUCACAUGGUUGUUCAAUGCCUCCAUGUGGUAGAAAAAAUAAUUUAGCUCUGUCCUAGCUUUGUGAUAGCAAUCUUCAGGGCCAAUAGAGUCCUUCAAAGGAAUUAGUGUUUUUUUGGGGGAAAAAAAAAAAAGCCUGUGGAAAAGACAACCCAAAUUGAAGAUAAAAACCCCAGAUCUCAUUAGCCUCAUGGAAUUGAUCUUCUUUGCAAACCUUCUUUAUCCUUCUAUCCUUCUAUAUAAGGAAUGACUUUUUCAAGCAAAGGAGCAACAUAAAAUAAAACAAGUUGAAUGAAAUCUGCAGUGAGUCCAUCUUUUCGGAAAACCUUUAAAGAAAUUCUUUUUACAUUCCCAACAUAAGAGCUUUUUCCUUUUGACCAAAAAAAAAAAAAAAAGGAAGUCUUUGUAUCAAGUCAUAAGGUAGCUUUAAAAAGUCAUAGUAAUAAACGUUAAUUUGUUUGACAGUUCUUUGGAUGUGACGUUGGCCAAAGAGAAUGAUCAGCUUCAUGAAAUAUUUGAAGUUCCGUGCAAGCAACAAACCAAAAACAGGAGUACUCGAAAGUUCGAUGGGGUCUCUUUCUUUUGAAUCAACUAUGUCGUUUCACCUCCUGGGGAUCAAAGAAACAAAAUCAUCUCCAGACACCAUGGACCACAGCCGUAAUUCUGCCACCGACUUUCUGCUUGACCUUGGAUAAGACACCGGGUUUCUUGGCCUGAAUUUCUUCAUCUGCAACAUGAGGAGUUUGAACUCAAAGAUAUUAUAUCUUAGGCCCCAUUUGGUAAAUAAAAUCCUCUGACUCCCCCA